CUUGUACUCCCUCCGUCCCAAAAUUCUUAUCUUAGAUUUGUCUAGAUAUGAAUGUAUCUAGUCACGUUUUAAUAUUUUGAUACAUUCCAUUUCUAGACAAUACAAGACAAGAAUUUUAGGACGGAGGAGUAUGUG
Molecule: non-coding RNA, 135 nt
Organism: Hordeum vulgare subsp. vulgare (domesticated barley)
Lineage: Eukaryota; Viridiplantae; Streptophyta; Magnoliopsida; Poales; Poaceae
Source: Rfam